AGCGAACGCUGGCGGCAGGCUUAACACAUGCAAGUCGAGCGCUCGUAGCAAUACGAGAGCGGCAGACGGGAGAGUAACACGUGGGAACGUACCCUUUGGUUCGGAACAACACAGGGAAACUUGUGCUAAUACCGAAUAAGCCCUUACGGGGAAAGAUUUAUCGCCAAAGGAUCGGCCCGCGUCUGAUUAGCUAGUUGGUGGGGUAAUGGCCCACCAAGGCGACGAUCAGUAGCUGGCUGAGAGGAUGACCAGCCUCAUUGAGACUGAGACACGGCCCAAACUCCUACGGGAGGCAGCAGUGGGGAAUAUUGGACAAUGGGCGCAAGCCUGAUCCAGCCAUGCCGCGUGGAUGAUGAAGGCCUUAGGGUUGUAAAGCCCUUUUCUGAGGAAGAUGAUGACGGUACUCAGGAGAAGCACCGGCUAACUACGUGCCAGCAGCCGCCG
RNAcentral lists this ribosomal RNA (444 nucleotides) under uncultured bacterium. RNAcentral's name for it is "bacterial SSU rRNA". It matches the Rfam family "Bacterial small subunit ribosomal RNA", at positions 29 to 520 of the family's 1533-position model. The record is from RNAcentral.